Long non-coding RNA from Tachysurus fulvidraco (yellow catfish), 306 nucleotides. RefSeq lists it as uncharacterized. The record is from RefSeq and is a predicted model, not a curated record. The transcript is spliced from 3 exons. Lineage: Eukaryota; Metazoa; Chordata; Actinopteri; Siluriformes; Bagridae.
GUGAAAUCACUCGACAGUGUUCUCACGAUGAUCGUAAAAGUUGUCGCGAUACCCGAAGUGAACACUUACUUAAAGCAAGGCUAUCCUUUACCAUCUAUUGGAAAAAUGAAUCUGCUCAACACUCAGCUUCAAGUCCUGAAGGAUAACGUGUUGAUCGGAACAGACGUCCAGUUCAGCGCAUGAGCUUGACCUGAUGUCUACUAACAGUGGAUUCCAUUUGCAAACUUGGAUUUCCUUAUUUUCUAUAUAACAAUACAGAACCUUUGUAGGAGUUGAUGUAUAAAUAAAUAAACGUGAUUUUUUUUU